GCCAUAAUAAGUGCUUAGUCUUAGGAGGAGCAUGCACUUUCCAAAUAUCUUUCCAUUGCUCUUGAUUGAUAUCAACAUGAUAGUUCCCUGUUUGUUUCAAUAAAAAUUUAUAUCCACUUUUAACAUUAUAAUUACCAUGUGCAUCAUCUAUCCAUACAAGUUUAUCAUCAUCUACAACUUCAAGCAAAGGAACAUCAAAGUAUAGAAUUAACAACAUUCAAGGGAAAUAAUGACUCAAUCUUUUUCAUAUACCAUGUUUUCUCAUAUGGGCGCAAUAAUUGAUUAACAUAAAUAUGAUACACACCUUGUUCUUGAGGCGAAUUAAUCCAUAAACCAUCUUCCUCCCUAAGGCAAGGAUCACCCAUAACUCUAAUAUUGGUACCAUUUCCUAUGCUCCACCUACAAUCAUUUAUAAGUACUUGACAGACGCAACUUCCAAAUACUACGCCAAGCAUACCUUGGAUUGCUACCAAGAUGGGAAUAAAAAAUAGUGGAGUUAGGAAAGUACCUCGUCUUGAAUGAUUUAGCCACUAAC
RNAcentral lists this long non-coding RNA (535 nucleotides) under Trifolium pratense (red clover). Its description in RNAcentral is "long non-coding RNA (TPRA_LNC006906)". Lineage: Eukaryota; Viridiplantae; Streptophyta; Magnoliopsida; Fabales; Fabaceae. The record is from RNAcentral.